GGAGAAGAAUUUUAGAUUUUUCACCACCUAUUGUUCCCCUGUUGCUGCAUCUGCUAAGGACUCGAAAGAAGAGGAAACUCCCAUCGAACUAAAAUAUGCAGCCUACCCCACUGUGAUGGACAUUAAUCAGAUACGUGAGAUUCUACCUCACCGGUUUCCAUUUCUCCUUGUGGAUAGAGUGAUUGAGUACAUUCCAGGGGUUUCAGCUGUUGCUAUCAAGAAUGUCACUAUAAAUGACAAUUUCUUUCCUGGACAUUU
RNAcentral lists this unclassified non-coding RNA (258 nucleotides) under Hevea brasiliensis (rubber tree). The record is from RNAcentral. Lineage: Eukaryota; Viridiplantae; Streptophyta; Magnoliopsida; Malpighiales; Euphorbiaceae.